This 317-nucleotide ribosomal RNA is filed under the name uncultured Paludibacter sp. Its description in RNAcentral is "partial 16S ribosomal RNA". Lineage: Bacteria; Pseudomonadati; Bacteroidota; Bacteroidia; Bacteroidales; Paludibacteraceae. The record is from RNAcentral.
GGAGUUUGGACCGUGUCUCAGUUCCAAUGUGGGGGACCUUCCUCUCAGAACCCCUACUGAUCGUCGGCUUGGUGGGCCGUUACCUCACCAACUACCUAAUCAGAAGCGUGCUCAUCCUAUACCCUCACGUUUCAUCACACAGAGAUGCCUCCAUAUGACACAUAAAGUUUUAAUCCGCCUUUCAGCGGGCUAUCCCUUGGUAUAGGACAGAUUGCACACCUGUUACGCACCCGUGCGCCGGUCGCCAUCAGUCGGUAUUGCUACCAACCAUGCUGCCCCUCGACUUGCAUGUGUUAGGCCUGUCGCUAGCGUUCAUC